GCGGGCGUGGCGAAACUGGUAGACGCACUAGACUUAGGAUCUAGUGCCGCAAGGCGUGGGGGUUCGAGUCCCUUCGCCCGCAC
RNAcentral lists this transfer RNA (83 nucleotides) under Butyricimonas faecihominis. RNAcentral describes it as "tRNA-Leu". It matches the Rfam family "tRNA". From Rfam's summary of the family: Transfer RNA (tRNA) molecules are approximately 80 nucleotides in length. Their secondary structure includes four short double-helical elements and three loops (D, anti-codon, and T loops). Further hydrogen bonds mediate the characteristic L-shaped molecular structure. tRNAs have two regions of fundamental functional importance: the anti-codon, which is responsible for specific mRNA codon recognition, and the 3' end, to which the tRNAs corresponding amino acid is attached (by aminoacyl-tRNA synthetases). tRNAs cope with the degeneracy of the genetic code in two manners: having more than one tRNA (with a specific anti-codon) for a particular amino acid; and 'wobble' base-pairing, i.e. permitting non-standard base-pairing at the 3rd anti-codon position. RNAcentral also lists the same sequence under 2 other names. The record is from RNAcentral. Lineage: Bacteria; Pseudomonadati; Bacteroidota; Bacteroidia; Bacteroidales; Odoribacteraceae.